UCAAAACCAAUCUCAGAAUGGCCUUGGUUCCAUUAGCAUGGAUGAUUUUUUGAAAAACAUCUACUUGUCCCCACCACCGCCACCAACUACUUCUGACGCUCACCUGCAAUUUCCCGGUGCAUCCAUCACUCUCACUUUUUUUGUCUCUGUUUGAUUAUCGAGAAACAUAGGAAACUCGUAAUAAUAAAACUCAUAGCUCCAUUUUUUUCUUUUGGUAAACAAAACGAAAGUUUCAGAUUUUUUUUUCUUUUGAUGGAGAUGCUCUACUGUUUUAGACCUGUACUUAAUGGUUAGAUUCUGUUUUCUCUUUUGUAGAUUCUCAAAUGAUUUUAUCAUUUGAAAUUUGAGCUUGAUUCAAUUUUUUCUUUGUUUUGCUCUUUGAACGUAACAAACAUCUGAAAAAUCAGCACCAUGGUUUCCUUGGAAAUGUCAAAGCGGAAGGUGUGCUCUGGUUACUAUAGUAAUCUCUGCUGUUAUAAGUCUGGUAAGUAAGAGACAAGCCUGUGUUGGAACAUUUUUAAAACUAGAUUAUGCCACAUUUUAUGCUUCAAUGGAAGUUGGAUCAUUAAUUUACUGUUUGCAACUCUUAUCAAAUCUACCAGAAUAAAAAGAUAUUGGUAUCCUAUAAAGAUCUUUGGUUGUAAUAAGAAAGAUUUUCUUCUUUGGACCAUCACAGGUACUACAACUCUAUUUCUUGGAAUUGAGAUUGGUGUCUUUUUUGGGGUAAGAAAUUUAGAUAUAAUUAAUUAAGAGGUAUAAUUUUUAUUUUAUUUUGAUACUUCAGGUAGGUGUUUCGCUUGCCUUUGUCAUUCACGAAUCGGCAAAUCCUCAUUCAGAGCAUAUGCAGAUAAGACCUAACGAGAUCUGCAAAAUAAUCCAGAUAUGUGGUUUCAAGUUGUGCACAUCUUGCAGUUGACAAUGAGCCUAAAUGCCAAGUUCUUUACCUUGCAGGUCAGUCGAAAAACUAUUUGCUUUUUAAUCUAUAAUUACUAUUAAGUUAAACUUACUUAAGAGAAUUCUAGUUGAAAUUCCUAUGUUGUGUACAGUGCUUGUUCCUGAUAAUUUGGUCUUGCCGCUGUAGCUGACUAGUUGAUUGAUAAUCUGGUCUGGUGUUUGGUUUGGUCCCUUUUUGCAUUGCUGCAGUUUCUAACUUAUUGGUGGACUUCUCAAGCAAGUGGAUUUAUGAUGGAAUAUAAUUGCACAUGCUCUAAAUUGUAAAUAGAUAUUUGAAUAGGUCACAUUUGGUUCUUCUUGAAAUUAAGAUCAAGUUUUCUUUUUCUAACAUAGUUCCGACUUGUUGUGUGAAAGAAUAGGCUUGCCUCUUCACCCAAGUCUUCAACAAAUGAUAGCAACGUUGGGUAGAAAAGGUCCACUUGGCUGAGAUUCUCACGUUUUUGCAUUCAUUUUCAAUUGAAUUUAUGUAUUCUUCAAAUCUAUUUUGAAAUUCACGAUUUUGACCUCUUCAUAGUUUUUCAAUCAGUUCUUGAUGAAUUCUAGCUUGUUUUGAGCCCAUUUUUUUUGUUAAAUUCCUAACUCAUAGAUCUUUAAUUCUGAAAAAAAAACAAUUAGCUUCAAAUUCCAUCCACACAAGUACAGAAAAUUCUCUAAAGUCAGGCCUAAAUUCAGUUGAUAGAUUAGUUCUUUGCAUGAGUGACAGCAUAGCAAGGAUCUACUCUCUUUCUUGGCAUUUGGUUUGCUUCUUUUUCACUUCAUGCUCUUAGAUUUACAUGUUUACUUGUUAGUUUUCAAUUGAUAGCAUUUAUUUUCAUGAAUUUACCUGCUAUUUGGAUGAUUUCUUUGAACAUGCUCUAUUUUUUCCAGUUCUGUGUACUGUUUGAGUUGUUAGUUCAAUGAGCUAGAUUUUUUCUUAUUUGAUGCGAUUUCUUUGUUGAAUUUUGUGAUAAACUUGUUUAUAAAUCUUACCUUAGCUCAGUUCUAAUUCAUUCUCCUUAGAAGUUUCUAGAUCUGGCUUUUUCUUUCCUUAUUAGUAAAAUUCUGAUGCAACUUAGUUUUUAUUUUGAUUUGUUUUAGUACUUUCUUGCGAUUUCUCUUUAGUUUCUGAUUUUCAAACUACUUUCCAUUGUAGUUCUUUAUAUGCUCUUUUAAUUUCCAGCUCAUACUCCAUUAAUUUUGCAUCAUUUAGACCUAGAUUAGUAACUUCAAAUUCAAUUUCUAGAUUUUCUUUUGUUUCAACUUGCGCUUAGAGUUUUUGCAUUUUUUUGCUUCACAUUUGAAGUUCAAACUUAUUCUUGCUUUAGUUCUUCACUUGUCUUUGCAAUUUUAAGUUUGAUUUCAUGUACUUUUUGCCAUUUAGAUUUAGUUCUAGUUCAUGAAAUCACUAUUUGUCUAUAAUAGCUUUGUAUUUUCAGUUUUGCAAGUUUAGUUGUAUUUUGCAUUUAGUAAGUAUUUAUAUUUUUUUAAUAUAAAAAAUGGUUUAUUAUGAAGUGUAAAGACUUGUUUUAUUUUAUUCAGUAGGUUUUUGAGCACGUAAGUAAUCAUGGUUGAAAAAAUAUGGCUGUGUUUCAAGUCUAAACAAU
Molecule: non-coding RNA, 2537 nt
Organism: Durio zibethinus
Lineage: Eukaryota; Viridiplantae; Streptophyta; Magnoliopsida; Malvales; Malvaceae
Source: RefSeq, a predicted model, not a curated record